Hibiscus syriacus is the source of this 590-nucleotide long non-coding RNA. RefSeq lists it as uncharacterized. NCBI's taxonomy places the organism in Eukaryota, Viridiplantae, Streptophyta, Magnoliopsida, Malvales, Malvaceae. The transcript is spliced from 3 exons. The record is from RefSeq and is a predicted model, not a curated record.
CUUUAUAGUUGCCGUCUUCCCCUUUAAAUUUCAAACGCCCAGGUCGCCACCGCCACCUCCAGCGGACUCAACGGCGCCCUAACUUUGUUGCCGAUUUAGAGAGCGAGUUGCCUAUUCACUCUAACUUAAUCUAAAUUUUGAUAUUCUCACCAAUCACAUCCAAGUUGAGCAGCCACUCUUCUUUGUUGGCCCAAGACCCAGUUACAAAUAUCAACCCAAUUACAAGAUGUUGGUUCAAGCCCAAGACCCGGAUCCAGACUCGGUUACAAGACCCGACCCGUUUAGAUGUUGCCUCCUACAUGAAGUCAGUGAUCAACACCUCAUGCCUCCCAUGUGAAACUUGCAAUAAAUACUCCAAAUUCAAUAAAAAAAUCAAUCAUCCACCGAAAAAUUGCCAAAGUCAAAACCAAACACAUAACCCCGAAAAUCAGGGGAUGAUUUCACCUAAACACGUUAUUGUCAUACCAAACACAAGGAAAUUAAGAGGCAAGGACAAGAGUGAUUUGGUGAUAAAAGGAGGAGGCAAUCAUUCCAGUAAGGGGAUCGAGAAUCAUUUGAAAAAAUAAAAAAGGAUAUUUUUAUAAUCAGGG